CAUGAUUCGUUCUGUUUAUUUUAUUUUCUCCUGGUUUUAAUUGAGUAUAUUUUGUGUGUUUUUUCUGUUCCCUAGUGUUCCUGUUCCCCUGUAGUCCAGUCUUGUGAGUUUUCAGUUUGUGUUUUACCCUGUUUCCCCUCCUGUUCUCUGUGUUUUAUUCUUUCGAUCAGUUUUCAGUGUUUAUUUCCUGUUUUAUUUUGUAGUAGUUUAUUCCUCGUGUUUCUAGUCUGGUUUUACUUCCCUAGUUUUCCCUCCUUCGUUAAUCGCCCAUGAGUUUCACCUGUGUCUCGUUUGCCUCACCUGUUGCUCGUUUCCCAGUGUGUGUAUAUAGUCCCUGUUUUCUCCUUUGUCUUUGUUGGUUCAUUGUGCAUUGAUGUGUGCGCGUAUGCUUGUAUCCCCAGUGUCUUUUGUUGGAUUUUGCCUUUUGACUGGACAUUUUAAAGUAAGUUUUUGCUGCUUUUCAUUCGGUUAUUUUAAAUAAAUAAUUUUCUUGUCUACGUUUUUGGUCAUUUCCCCUUUGUUUUUACUCUGGCACGUUACACUGGUAGCCAUUUAUUGAAGGUGAAAGUGUGAGAAAAAGACCUGAAAGCAGUUUGUGGUUUACAAAUAACUUUAACGGAGGAUAAAAUAGUAAACAUUUAAUGGCUUCAAUCGUAAAAUUCAUUCCAUUAUUCCAAAAUAUAUGUUUAUCUUCAUUAUUUGUUUAAGUCUUUGAUUUAUCUGCCAUCCAGUUGCUUUAAAAUUGAACCAUUAAAUGUGCCGUGCUCCAUUAAUCCACUAUUGAACAACAAACAGCGAUUAACUGCAUGACUGUGUGAAUAAAGAUCAAUCGAAGGUUUUCUAUUAUUAUCACACGCCUGGAUGAUUAAAAGCUAUCCUACCUGCUUCUAGCAUUUCAUUAAAAGGCUCUCACAUAUGCGCAUGUUGUUUUAUUAAAAUUCUAUCACAUUAAAGAGAUAAUUGAUUCGCUGAAUUUAUCUUAUCAUAUUACUGUCCCAUCAUAUCAGCUCCAGUAUCCAAUUACCGAGCAGAUUUCCAGCCCAGAGGCCAGCUGAUGCCUUUUGAACUAAGUCAUAAAACAUGCAUGGUCCAGUGGUGCCAUUUUCCAGCGUAAACCACUCAUUCCAGCAGUAUUGAUCCCUUAUAGAAAACAAGCCCUCAUUAUUUUUUCACAACUUUGUUUCAAGGGUGUCAGAUUUACUAUAGUCUCAUAUAAUAGAGAAAGGUAACAAAAACAGAAGGGAAGGGGAACAAAGGGACAAAUAUGAUUAAAGAAAAAACACAAUAAAAUGUGUAUGAUUUUAAUAAAUGUAAAAGAUAAUGCCCAGUUAGGUGUCUAUUGUUAGAUUUCUUUGGAUGAAAACCUGUAGACAUCCAUUCUAUGAUCAAUCAUUGAUAAUAUUUGUUGGUUUUGUAUUCAUGAUCUUGAGUUUUUCUCCAGGCUAAAAUCUCUUGUGUUGAGUUCUUUUAAAGUUUUAUAUUUCUACUCUGUAAAACCUUCAAAGUAGCUCUGUGUGAUUUACAAAAGAAAAAAAAAAAAACUAUCUAUCCCUCCAAGGUAUCUGUGGAAUCUCUUAGUUCUUGAGCACAGGAGAUUUCAGGCAAGUUCCCGCCUCCCUACAAGCCCUCUCUCCUCGGUUUGUCCAUCUCUUUGGGACAAUGUGGGAAAAAUUACUGAUCCUGUCGGGCAUAUGACCAUAUAAGGAGUUCAGUGACUUUGUGGUGCCGCAAAAUGGUAGGAAGAAAAAAACACCUGAAACCUGGCAUUUCAGUAUUUACAUUUACCAACUGAAGACGUACAGCAACUCUUGAAGGGAUGCUCCAGCACACAGUCAAACACACAGUAACACCGAGUUAGAACGUCCCCUGUUGCUGACUGCUUGCUUCUCUAGUUAUACCAACUUUUGCAACGACCGCAGGAUAGCGAUACACAGCGGACUACGUCUCCAUCUGUAAACCUCAACCAAAACGCCACUCUAUAAUGUUCAGAACAGCACCUAACCUCAUCAACAGCACAUAUAGGGUCCCGGCCAUAGCACUAGCCACCAAACAUCUUUUUAGCUUCGCCUAAUUUCUUUAGCAAAGAGACGAAACACAACUCACCCACUCUCCUCCAGCAGCCGCUUGUUUGUAGCGAAACCUCAGGCCAGUCCAUUACAGACUGCUGUGGGGUGACGCAGCUCAAGGAAGAACAUUUAUGAUCAUGGACUGGCCUGAGGUCUUGCUAAAAACAAGUGGCUGCUGGAGGAGAGUAGGUGAGAUAUGUUUAGUCUCUUUGCUAAAGAAAUUAGGCAAAGUUAAAAAGAUGUUUGGUGGCUAGUACUAUGGCUGGGACCCUAUAUGUACUGUUGAUGAAGUUAGGUGCUGUUCUGAGCAUUAUUUGUGGCUAUAGAGUGACGUUUUGGUUGAGGUUUGUUUAUGGCUCCUCAGACCGCUGUGCAUCGCUAUCAUUACUCAAGUUGGUAAAACUAGAGAAGCAAGCGGUCUGCAACAUUCAUCUCUCAAGGGGGUGUCUAACUUGGUGUCAUGUUGUGUUUGACCCUAAAUUAAUUUUACGCCGGAAAUAUUACAUUUACUACAAUAUACUACAAUACUACAUUUACUUACUAAAGGUUAGCCCUUCUUGUCUCUCUGUGCCAACUUAAAAAAAAUAAACCUUGUGCAAUGACUGACAAUAAAGCAGUGAUGAAUUUACAUGGACAAAUAUGUACUUUUUUUCACUCACUUCUUUGCUCUCCUCCUCCUUCUCUUAGCUGUAUUUUCCCAGUUUUACAUUCUUCAAAGAUGGCGGCCCUCUGCUAAUGUGUGUGCCAAGUGAUGGACUGAAAAGAACACAGAGACGUGGACGCAUCAGUGGAGAAGAAGUGAGACUGCAGGGACUGAGAGUGAGCAGGGCUAACAGGGAGGUAAUGGGACAUAUGUUGGAUGUGGUCACACGGGCUGGAGAAUUACCUGUGGUAAUUGGGGAACAGGGGAAGCAGCAGACAGAUUGUAUUACCUGAAGGACUUACACACCAAUCACACACACACAUACACACACAGGAAACCCAUGGAUCAGAGUAGAAGUAGCUCAGGCAACAUUGUCCAUGAGCUGUUCAGUUGACUUUGACUCCCACAGGUUAAGCGAUAAAAAUAAUCAACUGUAUUGGUUAUGUUUCAUGGUAUGGAGGUGGUUUGCAGGAGUUAUUUUAAAUGCUCUCUGAAUCACAGCUUUCACUCCUAACAUUCUCCCUCUUGUACUUGUAUGUUUCCACUUAGACUACCCAGAGCUGUAGGUCCAAAGGAACUACUUUUUGAAAACCUAGAAGCCUCCUUGUAGCAGCAUGUUGUCUGCAGUUGCAGGUAAAUGUCACUGUAUAUGCAGGAGAUUCGGCAUAUUUGGGUAUAAAAAGGCUUUUUUUUUUUGCACAUUAUUUUUGGAUGUGACAGGAUAACAAUGUCAAAGCCAUAUGAAGUGGUGUCAGAUUGUUAGAGGUCGCCGAUUUGAAUCUUGGUUGUAUUUAGUCCUCAGAAUAAAUGUUUAAUAUGAGUUCAGCUCCCCCUUUGCUGUCAUCUGCAAUUCUGUUGAUGCAUUAAAACUUGGACUAUCAGUGUCAAUGCAUUACUGAUGUUACAGAGGUGCAAAAGUUACACUUUAAAAUAAAAUAUCACUUGCUUUUCUGUUCCUGUUCUGGCUGCCAGUGUGAAAACUGUAAAUAAAGACACCACUGUGCCUUUAAACUGCAAAUUUCACUGAAAACAACUCCCAGAGUUUUCAGUCAGCAUGUCAGAAGUUAUACACACUCUGUGUCAAAGAGAAUAAAAAUAUUACCAAAGCUUAUCAGAAAAUGUUUACAAAGACGGAUACUGGACUACUGCAAGAAUCGAAUCAUUGCUAGAUGCACGUCCACCUCCACUACAGUAGGGGGCGACAUCCCCUUUUCAGCUUUGUACAACUUCAUUUGUUUACCACUCCGCUCCCUGCCAACCUGCUUAUGUUAUUAACCUUUUAGACUAAAGCCUGGGGUGAGAAUUUUGGAACAUGUGCAGACUGCUUAGGCCAGUUUAAGUCCAGUUGAGCUGUGUUCAUGGCAAAAGAAGAAUCAAUCCAAAACGACAUUAUCUAGGCGUAUUUGUCCAACUCAGGCAAUAAAUCAAGCUAAACCCAAUUCAACACAGCUCAACCAUAGACUGUUUAUAGAAUGGACGCCAUCUGCCUGAAGCCACCGUGAGAACAGCACCCUCUGGUGACAGGCUGCAGUAUAGGUCAUAAGUCCCGCCUUGUCCAGCAAUCCCUAUGGAGCCGUUGACAAACUUUGGAAAUAAAUAACACAGAAUAUAAUUUUUUCUCCCCCCUGGUUGUGAUGUUGACAUGUAGUUACUGUCAGACUGGUUUGUG
RNAcentral lists this long non-coding RNA (4378 nucleotides) under Xyrichtys novacula (pearly razorfish). The record is from RNAcentral. Lineage: Eukaryota; Metazoa; Chordata; Actinopteri; Labriformes; Labridae.